RNAcentral lists this long non-coding RNA (200 nucleotides) under Gossypium raimondii (Peruvian cotton). RNAcentral's name for it is "long non-coding RNA (GRAI_LNC001255)". The record is from RNAcentral. Lineage: Eukaryota; Viridiplantae; Streptophyta; Magnoliopsida; Malvales; Malvaceae.
UUUUGUUUGUUUUUAUUUCAUAAUAUUUAGUUGUUACUAACUUAUUUUCUUUUUUCCACUAUUUUCACAUUUUAUUUUAGGUGUUGUAUGACCCAAAGAAAUUCAGAGUUUAUUGUCGAUUUUGAUCCAAAAAUUGAAAGAACAAUUCGGAGUAGACUUCGAGAACAAAGAAAUAUGGCUUUAAUAAGAAACUAUGAAGU